GUCCACGCCCUAAACGAUGGAUACUAAACGUGGGAGGUAUCGACUCCUUCCGUGUUGUAGCUAACGCGAUAAGUAUCCCGCCUGAGGAGUACGGCCGCAAGGUUAAACUCAAAGAAAUUGACGGGGACCCGCACAAGCAGCGGAGCAUGUUGUUUAAUUCGAAGAAACGCGAAAACCUUACCAAGACUUGACAUUUGAUGCAUACCUAAGAAUUAGGGAAUUUAUAGCAAUAUAACAUCAAAACAGAUGGUGCAUGGUUGUCGU
This 264-nucleotide ribosomal RNA is filed under the name uncultured bacterium. Its description in RNAcentral is "partial 16S ribosomal RNA". It matches the Rfam family "Bacterial small subunit ribosomal RNA", at positions 793 to 1055 of the family's 1533-position model. The record is from RNAcentral.